RNAcentral lists this transfer RNA (2582 nucleotides) under Homo sapiens (human). Its description in RNAcentral is "HSALNT0102963". The stretch from base 1897 to 1969 matches the Rfam family "tRNA". Lineage: Eukaryota; Metazoa; Chordata; Mammalia; Primates; Hominidae. The record is from RNAcentral.
AAUACAGGACUGGUGACAGCUUCCUGCUGGCAUUCAGUAUAGUGUAGAUCUACUGUGUAAUUAAUUUUCUGUUUCUUCGAGGAGCUGUGAAACCAAAGGACAUAUAAAACUGCUCUUUUCUCCCUGUUUCUGCCUGCAGCUUGGUCCUAAAUGUGAGACAAUUGUGAAAAGUGGAGGACAGAGCCACCUGGUUAAAUACAGCCCCAGCUUUCUGGUGAGAGGACUGAAACCAAGAUGUGUCAAGUAACUAGAAUGUGCCUGGACAGAUACUGUAGAAAGCAAAACCAUAAAGUUGUUCAUGAGCUUGUGGACGCACCUGCCAGCUGUGAAUAAGUGGCUCUAAUCCCGAACAACUUACCUAAAAAGAGCCUGAGAGCUGAACUGUGCAAUGGCCCACUUUCCAGUCCUCACUGACCACUGGGUUGCACACACUUUGGAGAUCUCUGAACAGCAGUGUCAAGGCUUUCAAAUAGAGUUAUCUUUGAAACGACAACACAUGAAAGUCUGGUUGGUACUUGGAGCUUAAAUACAAGGCAAUUGUGUGCCUGCAAAAACAAAAAUAGCAAUAUUAUCCUUAAGAUUUCAACAAGACACAGUGUCUCAUCACAUAAUCCAAAGAAGUCCAGGUUACAAGCCCCACAAUAUUCAGCAUUAUGAAAAAACAGGGAGAUCUUAAUUCACAUGGCAAAGAGAAUCCUCGAAUAACAAUAUUGAGAGGACACAGAUGUCAAAAUCAUCUGACACAUACAUUAAAGCAGAUAUUAUAACAAUGCUCCUAGAAUCGGGGAUAACAUUCGUGAAGUGAAUGGAAAGUUGGAAAGUCUCACCAAAUAUUUCGAAUACAUAAACACCAAUUUAAACUUAAGAAUUAAAAAAAUGUAUUAACCAAAACUCUUAGGGGAAAUAAAAAGCUUAAUUGGAGGAUCUCCAUAAUCGAAUGCAGAAGACUAAGGAAAAAGUCAAUGAACUUGAAAACAGAACACGAAUACCUACAUAAUCUGAACUAUAGAGAGAAAGGAGGAUUUUAUUGUCUCUGAACAGAGGCUCAGGCACAAAUAAAAAAUAACAAAUCCAACAUUCACAUUAUUGUAAUCUGGAAAGAAGAGGACAAAGUGGUCUUUGUGGGAUAAAACUUUGAACAAUUAAUAGCUGAAAAUGGUUCAAAUUUGUCAAAAGAUAUAAACCAGAUUUUUAAAGUUCAGUAAAUGUCAAUCAGGAUAAACCCAAAGAAACCCAUAGCAAGGCAUAUCAUAAUCAAACUGCUGAAAACUAAGAAAAUACAAAACAAUUUUGAAAGCAGCCAAAGGGAAAUGAAAGAGAAACUACCAAAUGAAUGAUUGUAGAUUUCGCAUCAGGAACCAUAGGGGCCAGAAAAAAUGUCAUAACAUUCGGUAAGUAACAAAAGAAAAAGACAUAUCGACCCAGAAUGCUAUGUGGAGCAAAAGUAUCUUCCAGACAUAAAGGCAAAUAAAUGCAUUCUCAGUGGAAGGUAAGUAAAUACAUUCUCAUUCUUAGGAAGACUGCUGGAAAAGAAUUAGCAAAGAUUUGAGAUAAGAAAAAUGAUACCAGAAGGAAACUUAGAACAUCAUCAGUGAAGGAACAAAAGCAGAAAUAGAACAUGUCUGGGUAGACAUAACAGACUAUUAUUCUUCCCUUGAGUUCCUUAAGGAGACUACGGAAAAGAAGAGUGACUAAGAUCUCUGAAGAAGGGAAAAGCUAGAUGACUGGGCCACAAGAGGAAAAAAAGCAGCAAGACAGACAAUGAGUAGCCACUGCUGUUUGCCCUGGCCCAUCAAUGAGAAGAUCUGCUCUUAGAGCCCUGCUUUCCUGCUGAAGGCCCUGAAAUCACCUGUGUUCCAGGCCACCUGCUAACAAUAAAUAAUGCUGCCCUGAUGUGGGGAAUUAGCUCAAGUGGUAGAGCGCUUGCUUAGCACGCAAGAGGUAGUGGGAUCGAUGCCCACAUUCUCCAAGCUUUAUUAUUUAGACAUCGUGUCUCCAAACACUCAGGUCUCCAAACCCAAGUUAGUGUCUGAGAACAGGAUGCUGCUUUGGUUCAAGACGUAGGAGCAGCAAUAAUAGAGGGCUGGUGAUGGCUCCCUCUUGGCAUUCAGUAUAGUGUAGAUCUACCAUGUAAUUAAUUCUCUGUUUCUUUGAGGAGCUGUGAAACCAAGGGACAUAUACAACUGCUCUUUUCUCCCUGUUUCUACCUGCAGCUUUGUCCUAAAUGUGAGACAAUUAUGAAAAGUGCAGCGCAGAGCCACUUGGGUAAAUACAGCCCCGGCUUUCUGCUCAGGGGACAGAGUUUGAGGCACUGCAGAGGAACCGGCCAAAGUAUGAGACCCAUAUAUUGAGAGUAACAGAGUGUAAAGUUCAAAAAAAUCAAAAUAUUUAAAGAUUUAUCAUGGGUCUUGAUGACAUGAUGGAAUCUCUCUACUCUCUGGACUUAUUAUGUGUGGUAAUAAAUUUACUUUUUAAAAGCCAGUUGAGUGUUUUUAAUGUUGUGGAGCUAUUGCUAAGAGUUUCCUGAGUUUUUUCCAGUAAUGUAGAGAUCUUUGUGCUAAAUAUUUCAUAAAGAAGUUUGG